ACCUACGUCCACACCACCUUGACCGUGCCUGGUUCCAUCUGAUCUUGAAAACUAAGCCGGGGAAGACCUGUUUAGUAUUUGAAUGAGAGAGCACGUGGGAAUAAUGGGUGCUGUGGGCU
Molecule: ribosomal RNA, 119 nt
Filed under: Cebus imitator (Panamanian white-faced capuchin)
Lineage: Eukaryota; Metazoa; Chordata; Mammalia; Primates; Cebidae
Source: RNAcentral